GCCUUCCCGCACAAACAAUGAUUGUGUACUUGUAGAGUUCAUUGUUAGUGAGAUAUGUAAUGUCUUAAAGAGGCUUCCUAAUCACGCAUAGAAGAUGCUUUUCGAUGGAUCUCGUAUGCAUAUGGUAACUUUUUUUGUUGUGAAUUGGGGUUUAGUUGUAAUUGUAGGCUUAUUCCGUAGUAUAUAAAGUUAUAAACACAUAUCAUUGUGUGCAUUUUGUUUUUGGUGUGUUGCAUGGUCAACCAGCGUUCGUAAUAUUAGUCCGAAAGUUGCUGAUGCUUUAUUGCUAUUUUUCGUAGAUAGUUAUGCUAAUCACCUUUUUGGCGCUAUUAAUCUGUAUUUAAUUUGGUUUAUAGGAUUUACCUUUUGAUGUUCAGUUUCGUAAAUAGGUGGCAUUAGUUGUUCACAAAAGAAACUACUUAGAAGACCCAACAAAAGAAACAUCUUUGGAUAUUCUCUUGCAGAUUACAACAUGGAGAAAGGUAUGUAUGGGGUUUUUAGGGGAAUGAGUUAUGAAUCAUGAUAC
Molecule: long non-coding RNA, 526 nt
Filed under: Helianthus annuus (common sunflower)
Lineage: Eukaryota; Viridiplantae; Streptophyta; Magnoliopsida; Asterales; Asteraceae
Description: sRNA HanXRQr2_Chr05g0211941
Source: RNAcentral